RNAcentral lists this microRNA (23 nucleotides) under Macaca fascicularis (crab-eating macaque). RNAcentral describes it as "novel_miR4-3p". Lineage: Eukaryota; Metazoa; Chordata; Mammalia; Primates; Cercopithecidae. The record is from RNAcentral.
UUUAGAGAAGUCAUGAAGCUUUG